GAUGAACGCUAGCUACAGGCUUAACACAUGCAAGUCGCGGGGCAGCAUGGGGGUUGCUUGCAAUCCCCGAUGGCGACCGGCGCACGGGUGAGUAACGCGUAUCCAACUUGCCCUUCACCACGGGAUAACCCGGCGAAAGUCGGACUAAUACCGUAUGUUGUCCAUUGACGGCAUCCGAUUUGGACGAAAGGUUUGGCGGGGAGGGAUGGGGAUGCGUCCGAUUAGCUGGACGGCGGGGUGACGGCCCACCGUGGCGACGAUCGGUAGGGGUUCUGAGAGGAAGGUCCCCCACACUGGAACUGAGACACGGUCCAGACUCCUACGGGAGGCGGCAGUGAGGAAUAUUGGUCAAUGGGCGUAAGCCUGAACCAGCCAAGUAGCGUGCAGGAUGACGGCCCUAUGGGCUGUAAACUGCUUUUAUGCGGGGAUAAAGUGGCCCACGUGUGGGUUUUUGCAGGUACCGCAUGAAUAAGGACCGGCUAAUUCCGUG
Molecule: ribosomal RNA, 490 nt
Filed under: uncultured bacterium
Lineage: Bacteria
Description: partial 16S ribosomal RNA
Rfam family: Bacterial small subunit ribosomal RNA
Source: RNAcentral